CCCCGGGGCGUUUCCAUUCUAAAUAUCUCUCUCCCUCGAUUCUCUCUCCACCUGCGCGACGUGUGGGUUGUUGCACUUCACUCACACUCAUACCAUUCCACGCUUUUUCUUUUCUUCUCAAUUUUCGCGAGAAAAUUGGUAAAUACGUGCUUAAUUAUUUGCUCUCUCGCUCUCUCUCUCAAGUGGUUUUGAUCACUUUCAUUGUAUGCCAAUCCUGCUCCAAUACCAUAGUAUCUGCGUGGUGCGUAUCUUGUGGUGUGCUUUGAUCCGAGGAACUGGGAAGAUCUCAAGUCUCUCUCGGAAAUUUGGUUUGUUUAAAUGAAGUCCACUAUGGCUCAGAAUCAGAGUAAUUGGGAAGCUGAUAAAAUGCUCGACGUUUACAUUUAUGAUUAUUUAAUAAAAAGAAAAUUAAACACAGCCGCCAAAGCUUUUAUGGCAGAAGGAAAAGUUUCCACGGAUCCAGUAGCAAUUGAUGCUCCUGGAGGAUUUCUUUUCGAGUGGUGGUCUGUCUUUUGGGAUAUAUUCAUCUCAAGGACAAAUGAGAAACAUUCAGAGGCUGCUGCAGCUUACAUUGAGACCCAGCAAACAAAGGCUAGAGAACAGCAUCUUCAAAUGCAGCAAUUGCAAAUAAUGCAGCAACGCAGUGCAGCUCAAUUACAGAGAAGAGACCCUAAUCAUCCUUCACUUGGUGGUUCCUUAAAUGCCAUGAAUUCUGAAGGAAUGUUGGGGCAGCCACCAGCAAGUGUGUUGGCCAUGAAAAUGUAUGAAGAACGAAUGAAACACCCUCAUUCAAUGGAUUCAGAGGCAUCUCCAACUCUUAUUGACGCCAACAGGAUGGCCCUUCUCAAAUCAGCAGCUAGUCAUCAAGGCCAGUUGGUUCAUGGAAAUUCAGGGAAUAUGUCCACUGCGUUGCAGCAAAUUCCAGGGUGGACUCCUCUGACCACUGAUAUCAAAGCAGAAGUUAAUAUAGGUGCCACUCCAAAGAGUCUGCCUAUGGAUUCCUCAGUUUAUCGACAAGCAAUUUUACAAUCAAAAUCUGGGCUAGGAAGUGCAGCAUUAAAUCAAGGAGUUACAAGUCUUCCACUGAAGGGUUGGCCUCUAACUGGAAUUGAUCAGCUAAGACCUAAUAUGGGUGUACAAGUUCCAAAGCCCAAUUUGACAACCCAAAACCAGUUUCUUUUGGCAUCACAACAACAGGUUUUGGCACAGGCUCAGGCACAAAAUAACCUUGGAAAUUCAAAUUAUGGUGAUAUGGAUCAACGUAGACUUUCUGGUCUUCCCCGAGGUAGCUUAAGUGCAAAGGAUGUUCAGUCUACAAGGAAUGAUGGAUCUACUUGCUCCCAAAUGCAGUCAGAUUCACCUAAGAUGAAGAUGGCCCAGUCGCAACAUUCAUUAUCUCAACAGCAGGAUCAAUUGCAGCAGCAGCAACUGCAGCAGACUAACAGAAAAAGAAAACAGCAUUCUUCUUCUGGAGCUGCCAAUAGCACUGGCACUGGUGGUAACACUGCUGUUCCUUCACCUAAUUCGCCACCAUCAACGCAUACACCUGGGGAUGGAUUAAAUACAGCAAGCAGCAUGCAGCAUGCUAAUAGUGUGCAAAAGAGCAUGAUGAUGUAUGGUACAGAGGCAACAGGAGGUCUUGCAUCAUCAUCAAAUUUGCUGGAGGACAUGGAACGAUUUGGGGAUGUUGGUGCUUUAGAAGAUAAUGUGGAAUCCUUUCUAUCAAAUGAUGGAGGAGAUGGUGGAAAUCUCUAUGGAACAAUAAAACCAAGUUCAGCUGAGCAACAAAAAGAGUCUCCGAAAGGCUUCACCUUUGCCGAGUUUGGGUGUAUAAGAACAAGGAACAGUAAAGUUACUUGUUGUCACUUUUCUUCUGAUGGAAAGUGGCUUGCCAGUGCUGGAGAUGACAUGAAGGCUGUCAUCUGGAACAUGGACACUUUACAGACAGAGAGCACUCCUGCAGAGCACAAAUCAGUUAUUUCAGAUAUCCGUUUUAGACCAAAUUCAUCUCAGUUGGCAACAGCCUCAAUCGAUAAAUCAGUGCGAUUAUGGGAUGCAACCAAUCCAAGCUAUUGUUUGCAACAAUAUAGUGGGCACACUUCAGCUAUAAUGUCUCUUGAUUUCCACCCUAAGAAGACUGAUAUUUUCUGCUUCUGUGAUGGUGAAAAUGAAAUUCGGUAUUGGAACAUUACUUCGUCCUCUUGCACCCGUGUAUCUAAGAGUAGGGUUCUAUUCAGCAAUGCGGGAUGCCCUCGCAUAACUUCUUGAAGUAUUUCCCUUACAAUCGGUUCUAUUUUCCAAAUUUUACUCUUAGUAAUUCCUAUGUUUGAAGGAAAAUGUUUUCGAAUUAGACCACAAAUUAGAAAUGUCUGGAAAAGUUCUAUUUUUAUUUUGCAAGGUAAUCCACAUCUUUGUUUCAGGGAGGUAGUGCACAAGUGAGGUUUCAACCUAGACUGGGACAUUUGCUGGCAGCAGCUUCUGAUAAAGUAGUGUCAAUUUUUGAUGUUGAAGCUGAUACACAAAUUUACUCCCUCCAGGGUCAUCCCGAACCAGUGAGCUAUAUUUGCUGGGACACUCAUGGUGAUGUCUUGGCAUCUGUGAGUCCACAUUUGGUGAAAGUUUGGAAUUUGGGCACAGGAGAAUGCAUGCAGGAGUUCGGCUCUGGCGUGAACCAAUUUCAUUCCUGUACUUUCCAUCCAAGUUAUUCAACUUUAUUGGUGAUUGGAGGAAUUUCGUCCUUAGAUUUAUGGAACAUGGCAGAGAACAAAAGCAUGACAAUUCCUGCACAUGACAAUAUCAUAUCUGCUUUGGCUCCGUCUCCUGCCACUAGAAUGGUUGCCUCUGCAAGUCAUGACAACUGUGUUAAACUGUGGAAAUAAAACCCAGGUUUUAGGUUUUAAUAUCGCCUAGAUUCUUUGUUAGUAUUCCUUUAUCCUAAAUGAUUCAGAGAUCUAUAUUGAAAGCAAAAAGGUAUCUGAAUUUAUCUAUUCAAGUUUCUUACCACUAGCUUAAUCCUACUUCCUCUGAAUAAGGUAUACUAGACUACUAGUACACGAUACAAUUUUGUAUUAAGAAUCCUAAGCACUACAACUUAAACUCUGCACUAAUCUGCAAUGCAAUUUUUACU
RNA transcript from Abrus precatorius (Indian licorice), 3127 nucleotides. It is a transcript of the gene named transcriptional corepressor LEUNIG_HOMOLOG-like, with no coding region annotated. The transcript has 19 exons. The record is from RefSeq and is a predicted model, not a curated record. NCBI's taxonomy places the organism in Eukaryota, Viridiplantae, Streptophyta, Magnoliopsida, Fabales, Fabaceae.